GCCGCCGCGGUAAUCGUAGGGAGCGAGCGUUGUUCGGAAUCACUGGGCGUAAAGGGAGUGCAGGCGGAAAGGUAAGUCAGAAGUGUAAUCUACGGGCUUAACCCGUAUCUCGCUUUUGAUACUGCUUUUCUUGAGUAGUGGAGAGGGAAACGGAAUUCCAGGUGUAGCGGUGGAAUGCGUAGAUAUCUGGAAGAACACCAGUAGCGAAGGCGGUUUCCUGGCCACAUACUGACGCUGAGGCUCGAAAGCGUGGGGAGCAAACAGGAUUAGAUACCUUGGUAGUCCACGCCGUAAACGAUGGGCACUAGAUAUCGGGGAAUUCGAUUUCUUCGGUGUCGCAGUUAACGCGAUAAGUGCCCCGCCUGGGGAGUACGCCCGCAAGGGUGAAACUCAAAGGAAUUGACGGGGGCCCGCACAAGCGGUGGAGCAUGCGCUUUAAUUCGAUGCAACGCGAAGAACCUUACCUGGGUUUGACAUGGGAGUGAAAGUUCCUAGAGAUAGGAACCUUUCCUUCGGGAACACUCCACACAGGUGCUGCAUGGUUGUCGUCAGCUCGUGUCGUGAGAUGUUGGGUUAAGUCCCGCAACGAGCGCAACCCUCGCCCUUAGUUGCCAUCAGGUAAUGCUGGGAACUCUAGGGGGACCGCCUGGAACAACCAGGAGGAAGGUGGGGAUGAUGUCAAAUCAUCAUGGCUCUUACGUCCAGGGCUAGACGCGUGCUACAAUGGUCGGUACAGAAGGAUGCCAAGUCGUGAGACCGAGCUAAUCCAUGAAAACCGGCCUCAGUUCGGAUUGGAGUCUGCAAUUCGACUCCAUGAAGGUGGAAUCGUCUAGUAAUACGCGGAUCAGCAUGCCGCGGUGAAUA
This 864-nucleotide ribosomal RNA is filed under the name uncultured candidate division GN09 bacterium. RNAcentral's name for it is "bacterial SSU rRNA". It matches the Rfam family "Bacterial small subunit ribosomal RNA", at positions 511 to 1368 of the family's 1533-position model. The record is from RNAcentral.